Long non-coding RNA from Paramacrobiotus metropolitanus, 286 nucleotides. RefSeq lists it as uncharacterized. NCBI's taxonomy places the organism in Eukaryota, Metazoa, Tardigrada, Eutardigrada, Parachela, Macrobiotidae. The record is from RefSeq and is a predicted model, not a curated record. The transcript has 4 exons.
CUCAGAUCACUACACUAUCCAGCACGGUUUCCUAUUGGCACGAAGUAUAUCUAUUCGAUUGAUUCCUCUGGCCAACCAAUCAAGAUUCAGUCAAAGGAAUUUGUGUUCGGAAUACGUUGGCCCAACAGAACCGUACUAGAUGGAUGCUUAGGCGAGCGACUUAAUGUUUGGGAUGCCAAGGUUCCAGCAUCUCCUGUUGCUUAUGCUUGUGGUGGAGGACGAGUGGAUAUUCUAUCGUACAGCGACGCAGUGUUUAUUGAGGCGGUGCCCGGACCGUCAUAUAGGG